This is a non-coding RNA of Hordeum vulgare subsp. vulgare (domesticated barley), 125 nucleotides long. Lineage: Eukaryota; Viridiplantae; Streptophyta; Magnoliopsida; Poales; Poaceae. The record is from Rfam.
GAAGUACUCCCUCCUUCCGAAAUUACUUGUCGCAGAAAUAGAUAAAAAUAGAUGUAUCUAGAAGUAAAAUACGUCUAGAUACAUCCAUUCCUCCGACAAGUAUUUCUGGACGGAGGUAGUAUAAU